ACUUGCAAAUCCUGCUGAAGAUAGCACAUGUGGCAGGUUCAUAGAUACGCCCUUCAAGGCAGUCCCUCCAAAUGAGAAGAGCAUGAACUAUGUGGUUGUACAGCUUGGGUGUGAAUUCCAGCUUGGCCACUAUGUGGCUUUGGAAAAAUUACUUAAUUUGUGUGCCUAAUUUCCUCAUCGGAAAAACAAAGAUAAUAAAAUAUACCUCUUGGGGUUGUUGUAUGGAUUAAAUGUGUCUGUGUAUACAGAACCCCUAACACAGUCUCUCAGAUGUUGUAACUGUUUAACAAGUGGUGAUGUGAUUAUUGUUGAUAAUGUUGAUGGUAAGGCCAUUUACCCUACAUGGGUUCAAUUUUAGGAAGUUCAUUGUUGCUGCACGGCUGAGCCCUGUCUGCAACACCGCUAGUAUCAGUAAUAAAAUGGAUACUUUGAUUUCUA
Molecule: long non-coding RNA, 438 nt
Filed under: Pongo abelii (Sumatran orangutan)
Lineage: Eukaryota; Metazoa; Chordata; Mammalia; Primates; Hominidae
Description: lincRNA
Source: RNAcentral